Helianthus annuus (common sunflower) is the source of this 902-nucleotide long non-coding RNA. RefSeq lists it as uncharacterized. The transcript has 2 exons. The record is from RefSeq and is a predicted model, not a curated record. NCBI's taxonomy places the organism in Eukaryota, Viridiplantae, Streptophyta, Magnoliopsida, Asterales, Asteraceae.
UAAACCUUUAUGCUGAAACAAAAAGUACGACUGACGAAAUCCCCAAAUCCAAAUCGCCUACAAGGCUUCUCUAAUACGAAUCGAUCAAGCUUCUGAUCAAUUUCUACCUCCCCCAAGUCUAAAUCGCCUGCAAAGACAUCCCCCUUUAUGUUCCACUCUCAAUUAAUCGACCAGGCUUCUGAUCAAUUUCUACCUCCCCCAAAUCCAAAUCGCCUGCAAAUACCUCCCCCAUGAAUCGACUGCAACUGCAAAUCCCAUGGCUUCUUGUUCAUAUUUGGAUUAGCUAGAUGUGGAAGAACUGUAGAUUGAGAUGGAUGAAUUAUCUUCGACCGACGGUUAAACGCGGUAAUUUUAGUAAAGAACAAGAAGAUUUUAUCUGCAAGUAUCAUAGAGAAAUGGGAAACAAGUAUGUGUGAUCGUAUUGUGCCGCAGAUGGUCAGCCAUUGCUGCAAAAUUACCUGGAAGAAGUGAUAACGAGAUUAAGAACCAUUGGCACACGCACCUGAAAAAACGCAUACCUGAACACACGUUCUAGAUGUUCUGAAAAAAGAAGAGGGUUCUGGUGAACAGAUUAUGCAAUUUGACAGAUUAUGUGCUGCUUCAUAAGACGCUCAUGGGGUCGAUAAUGGAAGACAUUGUGGCGACCCUCUUUGGCUGGCAUUAAGAGAGAAAGAGAAGCAAGGUUGCAAAGAAAAGCGGAUGCAACUAUUAAAAGAGAAAGAGCCAUGGCAUACGCAAGCCGAUGGAUAAAGCAAGAAAAGCAUCUUUUUUUAUUGAUUGUUAUGGUUUCAGUUUUCUUUUUUUAUUGACUGUGUUGUUUUAACAGGGGUGUGUAGUGCUAUUAUUGUAUAUGAUGGAUGAAUUGAUGUGAGUGUGUUAAUAAAUAGAGAAUAAUUUUUGUG